AAAUUGAAGAGUUUGAUCAUGGCUCAGAUUGAACGCUGGCGGCAGGCCUAACACAUGCAAGUCGAACGGUAACAGGAAGAAGUUUGCUUCUUUGCUGACGAGUGGCGGACGGGUGAGUAAUGUCUGGGAAACUGCCUGAUGGAGGGGGAUAACUACUGGAAA
Molecule: ribosomal RNA, 162 nt
Filed under: Escherichia coli
Lineage: Bacteria; Pseudomonadati; Pseudomonadota; Gammaproteobacteria; Enterobacterales; Enterobacteriaceae
Description: partial 16S ribosomal RNA
Rfam family: Bacterial small subunit ribosomal RNA
Source: RNAcentral